Molecule: microRNA precursor, 94 nt
Filed under: Branchiostoma floridae (Florida lancelet)
Lineage: Eukaryota; Metazoa; Chordata; Leptocardii; Amphioxiformes; Branchiostomatidae
Description: mir-2060 microRNA precursor family
Rfam family: mir-2060 microRNA precursor family
Source: Rfam by way of RNAcentral
GUUCACUUGUGUGUGAAUUGUGUUCAGCACCAAGGACAGGUAUGUUCACCUGUGUGUGAAUUGUGUUCAGCACCAAGGACAGGCAUGUUUACCA